Molecule: ribosomal RNA, 292 nt
Filed under: uncultured bacterium
Lineage: Bacteria
Description: partial 16S ribosomal RNA
Rfam family: Bacterial small subunit ribosomal RNA
Source: RNAcentral
GUGCCAGCAGCCGCGGUAAUACGUAGGGGGCAAGCGUUAUCCGGAAUUACUGGGCGUAAAGCGCACGCAGGCGGUUCGCCAAGUUUGGAGUGACAGUUGUCGGCUCAACCGACAAAGGACUUCAAAAACUGGUGAACUUGAGGACGAGAGAGGAACAUGGAACUCCAGGUGUAGUAGUGAAAUGCGUAGAUAUCUGGAAGAACACCAAUGGCGAAGGCAAUGUUCUGGCUCGUUUCUGACGCUCAGGUGCGAAAGCCAGGGGAGCGAACGGGAUUAGAUACCCGCGUAGUCC